Molecule: ribosomal RNA, 372 nt
Filed under: uncultured organism
Description: bacterial SSU rRNA
Rfam family: Bacterial small subunit ribosomal RNA
Source: RNAcentral
CGUAGGGUGCGAGCGUUAAUCGGAAUUACUGGGCGUAAAGCGUGCGUAGGCGGUUCGUUAAGUCAGCUGUGAAAGCCCCGGGCUCAACCUGGGAACUGCGGUUGAAACUGGCGAACUAGAAUCUGGCAGAGGGGGGUGGAAUUCCACGUGUAGCAGUGAAAUGCGUAGAGAUGUGGAGGAACACCGAUGGCGAAGGCAGCCCCCUGGGCUGAGAUUGACGCUCAGGCACGAAAGCGUGGGGAGCAAACAGGAUUAGAUACCCUGGUAGUCCACGCCCUAAACGAUGUCAACUAGGUGUUGGAGGAGCAAUCCUUUGGUACCGCAGCUAACGCGUGAAGUUGACCGCCUGGGGGAGUACGGUCGCAAGAUUAA